AACAGACUCCUACGGGAGGCAGCAGUGGGGGGUAUUGGACAAUGGGGGGAACCCUGAUCCAGCGACGCCGCGUGAGUGAAGAAGUAUUUCGGUAUGUAAAGCUCUAUCAGCAGGGAAGAAAAGAAUGACGGUACCUGAAUAAGAAGCCCCGGCUAACUACGUGCCAGCAGCCGCGGUAAUACGUAGGGGGCAAGCGUUAUCCGGAUUUACUGGGUGUAAAGGGGGCGCAGACGGCGAUGCAAGCCAGGAGUGAAAGCCCGGGGCCCAACCCCGGGACUGCUCUUGGAACUGCGUGGCUGGAGUGCAGGAGGGGCAGGCGGAAUUCCUGGUGUAGCGGUGAAAUGCGUAGAUAUCAGGAGGAGCACCGGUGGCGAAGGCGGCCUGCUGGACUGCAACUGACGUUGAGGCCCGAAAGCGUGGGGAGCAAACAGGAUUAGAUACCCGCGUA
RNAcentral lists this ribosomal RNA (448 nucleotides) under uncultured bacterium. Its description in RNAcentral is "bacterial SSU rRNA". It matches the Rfam family "Bacterial small subunit ribosomal RNA", at positions 330 to 792 of the family's 1533-position model. The record is from RNAcentral.